CUCUGGGAGGGUUGCCAAGCUGAGGAAACAUAGGGAACACAGUGCCGAGCCACCACGAUCCUCAGCCUCCCCAUCCCCCUGCCCCUAGGAGAUAAAGAAGAAACAGAGACAAAGAGACAAGUAGAAAAUGCAGAAUGUGAGGGAGCCAAGAGAGUAAUAGCACUCAAACCAAAGGAGAGGAGCUGAGGGGGAGGGAGAGACCUUUGGCCCAGCUAGAAAUCCUGGACUAAGGCCAUCUCUUCUGCCCUCCUGCCCUCACACACUGUACUUCUCUUCCAUCUCAGAUGUGGACCCAGUUGUCCGGGAGCAGAAGCUGCUGAGGGAGCCGGGUCGGCUCAGGCAGGAGUCCGAGGCAGGGAGCACCUAGAGAUCUCAAAGCCAAUGUCUUGGGGACCCUAAAACGAUCCUAAAUCACCAUCAGUCUGAAUUGGGACAGCCACCGGGUGUGAGAGCUGUGGAAUAGGUACUAUGUGGAAGGACAGAGAGGAUGCCGUCCCUGCCCACAAGAAGCUGAUAAAUUCAUGGGGGAGACAGGACAUUACU
This 543-nucleotide long non-coding RNA is filed under the name Ornithorhynchus anatinus (platypus). Its description in RNAcentral is "lncRNA (ENSOANG00000046011.1)". Lineage: Eukaryota; Metazoa; Chordata; Mammalia; Monotremata; Ornithorhynchidae. The record is from RNAcentral.